This 599-nucleotide unclassified non-coding RNA is filed under the name Penicillium capsulatum. Its description in RNAcentral is "sequence contains 18S rRNA gene, ITS1, 5.8S rRNA gene, ITS2, 28S rRNA gene". The stretch from base 222 to 375 matches the Rfam family "5.8S ribosomal RNA". Lineage: Eukaryota; Fungi; Ascomycota; Eurotiomycetes; Eurotiales; Aspergillaceae. The record is from RNAcentral.
AGUCGUAACAAGGUUUCCGUAGGUGAACCUGCGGAAGGAUCAUUAACGAGUGCGGACCUCCGGGUCCAACCUCCCACCCGUGUCUAUCGUACCUUGUUGCUUCGGCGGGCCCGCCCACCGUGGCCGCCGGGGGGCGUCCGCCCCGCGGCCCGUGCCCGCCGAGGACCCCUGGGAACUCGUGUCUGAAGAGUGCCGUCUGAGCGAGAAGCGAAAUCAGUCAAAACUUUCAACAACGGAUCUCUUGGUUCCGGCAUCGAUGAAGAACGCAGCGAAAUGCGAUAAGUAAUGUGAAUUGCAGAAUUCAGUGAAUCAUCGAGUCUUUGAACGCACAUUGCGCCCCCUGGCAUUCCGGGGGGCAUGCCUGUCCGAGCGUCAUUGCUGCCCUCAAGCCCGGCUUGUGUGUUGGGCCGCCGUCCCCCCGCCUGCCCGGGGGGACGGGCCCGAAAGGCAGCGGCGGCACCGCGUCCGGUCCUCGAGCGUAUGGGGCUUCGUCACCCGCUCCGCAGGCCCGGCCGGUCGCCCGCCGGCGCACCUCUUCCUCUCUCCAGGUUGACCUCGGAUCAGGUAGGGAUACCCGCUGAACUUAAGCAUAUCAAUAA